This 197-nucleotide ribosomal RNA is filed under the name uncultured bacterium. RNAcentral's name for it is "partial 16S ribosomal RNA". It matches the Rfam family "Bacterial small subunit ribosomal RNA", at positions 521 to 717 of the family's 1533-position model. The record is from RNAcentral.
UAAUACGUAGGUGGCAAGCGUUGUCCGGAUUUACUGGGCGUAAAGCGCGCGCAGGCGGGCUGGUCAGUCUGGGGUGAAAUCUCACGGCUCAACCGUGAGAGGUCCCUGGAUACUGCUAGCCUUGAGGGGCUCAGAGGAGAGUGGAAUUCCGGGUGUAGUGGUGGAAUGCGUAGAUAUCCGGAGGAACACCAGUGGCG